CAAGAUUCAGGUGAGUGCCUUC
Molecule: non-coding RNA, 22 nt
Filed under: Arabidopsis thaliana (thale cress)
Lineage: Eukaryota; Viridiplantae; Streptophyta; Magnoliopsida; Brassicales; Brassicaceae
Source: RNAcentral